Molecule: transfer RNA, 55 nt
Filed under: Opimothrips tubulatus
Lineage: Eukaryota; Metazoa; Arthropoda; Insecta; Thysanoptera; Thripidae
Description: tRNA-Val
Source: RNAcentral
CCAAAUUUAAAUUUUCUUUUACAAAGAGAAUCAAAGUUUAUAAAAACUAUUUGGA